CCGACAGGCGUAGGCGAUGGAUAACGGGUUGAUAUUCCCGUGCUCGUGAUAGUGCGUCCAUGCCGAGGCUGUUGAUGCUAACCAUCCGAACCCGCCUCUGAGUCCUUCGGGACGAGGGGGAGUGGGGGAGCGUGGGGUCCGAUUCGGUAGUAGGCAAGCGAUGGGGUGACGCAGGAGGGUAGCCUCGCCACGCGGUGGUUGUCGUGGUGUAAGCCUGUAGCCCGACUCCUAGGUAAAUCCGGGGGUCAUACAAGGGUGAGAGGUGAUGCGUAGCCGAUUGAGGCGAAGUAGGGUGAUCCCAUGCUGUCGAGAAAAGCCUCUAGUGAGUGCUGUUGCGGCCCGUACCCCAAACCAACACAGG
This 361-nucleotide ribosomal RNA is filed under the name Pseudonocardia halophobica. RNAcentral describes it as "bacterial LSU rRNA". It matches the Rfam family "Bacterial large subunit ribosomal RNA", at positions 1402 to 1663 of the family's 2925-position model. Lineage: Bacteria; Bacillati; Actinomycetota; Actinomycetes; Pseudonocardiales; Pseudonocardiaceae. The record is from RNAcentral.